RNAcentral lists this ribosomal RNA (432 nucleotides) under uncultured bacterium. RNAcentral's name for it is "partial 16S ribosomal RNA". It matches the Rfam family "Bacterial small subunit ribosomal RNA", at positions 29 to 507 of the family's 1533-position model. The record is from RNAcentral.
ACGAACGCUGGCGGCAGGCCUAACACAUGCAAGUCGAGCGAGGACUUCGGUUCUAGCGGCGGACGGGUGAGUAACGCGUGGGAAUGUGCCCUUCUCUACGGAAUAGCCCUGGGAAACUGGGAGUAAUACCGUAUACGCCCUAUUGGGGAAAGAUUUAUCGGAAAAGGAUCAGCCCGCGUUGGAUUAGGUAGUUGGUGGGGUAAUGGCCUACCAAGCCGACGAUCCAUAGCUGGUUUGAGAGGAUGAUCAGCCACACUGGGACUGAGACACGGCCCAGACUCCUACGGGAAGCAGCAGUGGGGAAUCUUAGACAAUGGGGGCAACCCUGAUCUAGCCAUGCCGCGUGAGUGAUGAAGGCCUUAGGGUUGUAAAGCUCUUUCAGCUGGGAAGAUAAUGACGGUACCAGCAGAAGAAGCCCCGGCUAACUCCGUG